GAUGAACGCUGGCGGCGUGCCUAAUACAUGCAAGUCGAGCGAACAGACGAGGAGCUUGCUCCUCUGACGUUAGCGUCGGACGGGUGAGUAACACGUGGAUAACCUACCUAUAAGACUGGGAUAACUUCGGGAAACCGGAGCUAAUACCGGAUAAUAUAUUUAACCGCAUGGUUCAAUAGUGAAAGACGGUUUUGCUGUCACUUAUAGAUGGAUCCGCGCCGCAUUAGCUAGUUGGUAAGGUAACGGCUUACCAAGGCAACGAUGCGUAGCCGACCUGAGAGGGUGAUCGGCCACACUGGAACUGAGAAACGGUCCAGACUCCGACGGGAGGCAGCAGUAGGGAAUCUUCCGAAAUGGGCGAAAGCCUGACGGAGCAACGCCGCGUGAGUGAUGAAGGUCUUCGGAUCGUAAAACUCUGUUAUUAGGGAAGAACAAAUGUGUAAGUAACUAUGCACGUCUUGACGGUACCUAAUCAGAAAGCCACGGCUAACUACGUG
RNAcentral lists this ribosomal RNA (497 nucleotides) under uncultured bacterium. Its description in RNAcentral is "partial 16S ribosomal RNA". It matches the Rfam family "Bacterial small subunit ribosomal RNA", at positions 28 to 507 of the family's 1533-position model. The record is from RNAcentral.